This 76-nucleotide transfer RNA is filed under the name Ensifer meliloti. RNAcentral describes it as "Sinorhizobium meliloti transfer RNA-Ala (TGC)". It matches the Rfam family "tRNA". From Rfam's summary of the family: Transfer RNA (tRNA) molecules are approximately 80 nucleotides in length. Lineage: Bacteria; Pseudomonadati; Pseudomonadota; Alphaproteobacteria; Hyphomicrobiales; Rhizobiaceae. The record is from RNAcentral.
GGGGCUGUAGCUCAGCUGGGAGAGCACCUGCUUUGCAAGCAGGGGGUCAGCGGUUCGAUCCCGCUCAGCUUCACCA